RNAcentral lists this long non-coding RNA (2083 nucleotides) under Sus scrofa (pig). Its description in RNAcentral is "lncRNA (ENSSSCG00000053789.1)". Lineage: Eukaryota; Metazoa; Chordata; Mammalia; Artiodactyla; Suidae. The record is from RNAcentral.
CAGGGCCAGGGGUUGCACCCACAUCCUCACAGAGAUAGCACUGGGUCCAUAGCCCACUGAGCCACAAUGGAAACACCUGCAAUGAUUUUUUUUUAAGGUGAACUAUUUACUAAUGCUCAGACUUUAGUAAGAAUUAAUAGGAGCUCCCGCUGUGGCACAAUGGGAGUGGUAGCAUCUCUGCAGUAUCAGGACUCAGAUUUGAUCCCCAGCCUGGCAUAGUAGGUUAAAGGGUCCAGCAUUGCUGCAGCUGUGGCAUAGGUCACCAGUGUGGCUGGAAUCUGACCCCUGGUCUGGGAAUUCCAUGGGGUGGCCAAAAAAAAAAAAAAAAAAGAAUUAUUGAGGGUGUACCUAGAUUGACUAAGUUGUUUUGUUACCAUUUUCAUUGUAAUCACUUGUUUUAAUAGUAGUCCCAAAGCAUUAUAACAUGAUAAUAGUGCUAAUUAUAAUUGGGAUCCUACAAUUCAUGUAGGUAAUAUUCUAUAUAUAAAUGUAAAAAACAUAAGCAGUGGUAUUUUACCACUACAGGGGGACAGAGAUUUUCAAGACCUUUUGCUCUCUGGAGGCCAGUACCACAACGAAACUUAACAAUUUUGAAAGAAAUAGUCUUGGUGGUUGUCUACUCAAAAUUUUUCUUUAGAUUUCCCUCACAGUAUUUCUAUAACUAUGACCCUCUCCAGGCCUAAAAAACAUUACUUCUGGAGAUUAACUGGAACAAAUUUAUUGUCAUCACCCCUCCAGAAUUUUCCCCUAAAGUCCCUUUUCUGAGAGCUAGUUAAGAGAAAUAACUAUGUAAGAACUGUUUUUUCUUUGGGCCACACCUGCUGCAUGUGGAAGUUCCUGGGCCAAGGAUGGAGCCCACACCACAGCGUGACCUGAGCCACUGCAGUGACAAUGCCAAAUCCUUAACCUAAUGAGCCACCAGGGAUCUCAACUGAGAACUUUUAAAUUACUCCCCCCAAAAGAAACACUUGCACUUAUUCCUGUAGCCUUUGGUAGACUUUGUAGCAUCUUCAGUCUUUAAAAAAAAUAUAUAUUUACCUUUAUUUCAUAUUAUUUGAUACAGAAAAUUAGGCAAUAUCAACAUGACCAAAAAUGCUUGACAGAAUUUCUUAAACUAAUUUUCCAUGAAUUUUCAGAUUUAAUCUUGUAAAGCUUUUUCACUUUCUGGCACAUUACAUGUUCCGUGUUCACCUUGUACCUUCUUGCCCCAGGCAACUGAUUGGCCAACUCUGCAAGGAGCUUACUGUUUUUUACAGAAUAUGAUCUCAUUUUGGUCCUAAUAACCUUGGGAAGUGGAUUAAGCAGGCCUUACCCCCAAUCUCACGGAAGCUGCUAGUUAGUGAAGGAAGCAAAGAGAAGGUUCAGAACAAGUGCUUAAGGCAGAUAAGAAUGAAGAGCCUCUUUCUUUACCCAGAGCAGAAGUUUCGUCAGUACCUACAUGAUACCUCCUAUGGCCUGAGGCAGGUCUAGAGCUUGAAUUUGGAAGUCACCCAGGUCAGCAGUGUCUCCCACUCAGCCGUUUAUGUGAGGUUCCAGAGCUAGGAGUUUCUGUGAGAGGAAGCACACAAGCAAGCAGUAGCACAGGACCAAUAGCUGCUGCCACUCCCGGGAACCUCUUGCUUGAGGCUGGUAGUGGGUUAUGAAAAGUGAUAUAAGACAAACAGGAGAGAUGUAGGGAGGUGAUAACACAUUAGUCAAGAAAAGCUAGAGGAAGUGCCAUUUACGUUCAAAACUGAAAGUGAACAUGAUCUUUUUUUUUUUUUUUUUUGGCUACCCAAAGGCAUACAGAGUUCUCAGGCCAGGGGUCAGAUCUGAUCCCAGUUACCUAGGCUACAGCUGCACAGCUGCAGCAAGGCCAGAUCCUUAACCCACUGUGUUAGGUGGACAAUCCCAUUGCACCACAGUGGGGAACUCUGCAAACACACAACUUUGAGAAAGGCUGGGGAAGAACUCUCAGUGGGUUAAGGAUCUAUUGUUGUUGUGAGCUGUGUUGUAGGCCAGCAGCUGCAGCUCUAAUUUGACCCCUAGCCUGGGAACCUCCAUAUGCCUCAGGUGCAACCCUAAAAAGACCAAAAAAAUAAAA